Molecule: long non-coding RNA, 679 nt
Organism: Bicyclus anynana (squinting bush brown)
Lineage: Eukaryota; Metazoa; Arthropoda; Insecta; Lepidoptera; Nymphalidae
Exons: 2
Source: RefSeq, a predicted model, not a curated record
AUCGUCAACAUAAAAUUAUUCACAUAAAAUCAUCAAAAUAAAACAUUUCUAGAACUCUGUACGACGAGCAUUCUAACAUCAGCUAUAGUAAUUUAUUUUACUAUCUAUUAAAUUUUUUUUAGAUGAAAAAUAAAUAGGUUUUUAAUAGGCACAUAAUGUGUAUUUAAGACACUCGUUCUAAGGCUAGUAGACGAUACUUCGCAUUCAGUCAUAGAACAAUGAAAACCUUACUCGUCACCUUCGUCAUUGCUUGCAUGCUCGCGGCCUUCGUGUUGGCUGCGCCUCAGCUUGGCGGAUUCGAAGGUCUCCCAGAAUACAGGUUGAGUGGAAACGCACCGAACCGAGUGACCAGAAUGCUAACUAAUCCUAGGGCUGCAGGCGGACGUGUGCCAGGUCUGUGGCGACCCUGUGGCAAUGAUAUCAAUUGCUAUCUUGAAACUCAGAACGAUGUCUAACAGCUACCACAGAAUAUAAUUUGAAAUUCCUAAAGUAGGCGUCCACAACCCCAUCCGAACAUACCUAUCUAUCGGCACAGAAAACAUAUGUACAAGAUCAGGCGCAUCGCAUCAAACAGAAUUUUUAACCGACUUCAAAUUGGAGGAAGAGCGUUCGAUGCGGAAAUGUGGUUGCCUGCCUUAGUGACCAAUAUUUUAAAUUAAAUUAUAUUUGUCAUGAUGCA